AGCGUACACGGUGGAUGCCCUGGCAGUCAGAGGCGAUGAAGGACGUGCUAAUCUGCGAUAAGCGUCGGUAAGGUGAUAUGAACCGUUAUAACCGGCGAUUUCCGAAUGGGGAAACCCAGUGUGUUUCGACACACUAUCAUUAACUGAAUCCAUAGGUUAAUGAGGCGAACCGGGGGAACUGAAACAUCUAAGUACCCCGAGGAAAAGAAAUCAACCGAGAUUCCCCCAGUAGCGGCGAGCGAACGGGGAGCAGCCCAGAGCCUGAAUCAGUGUGUGUGUUAGUGGAAGCGUCUGGAAAGGCGCGCGAUACAGGGUGACAGCCCCGUACACAAAAAUGCACAUGCUGUGAGCUCGAUGAGUAGGGCGGGACACGUGGUAUCCUGUCUGAAUAUGGGGGGACCAUCCUCCAAGGCUAAAUACUCCUGACUGACCGAUAGUGAACCAGUACCGUGAGGGAAAGGCGAAAAGAACCCCGGCGAGGGGAGUGAAAAAGAACCUGAAACCGUGUACGUACAAGCAGUGGGAGCACGCUUAGGCGUGUGACUGCGUACCUUUUGUAUAAUGGGUCAGCGACUUAUAUUCUGUAGCAAGGUUAACCGAAUAGGGGAGCCGAAGGGAAACCGAGUCUUAACUGGGCGUUAAGUUGCAGGGUAUAGACCCGAAACCCGGUGAUCUAGCCAUGGGCAGGUUGAAGGUUGGGUAACACUAACUGGAGGACCGAACCGACUAAUGUUGAAAAAUUAGCGGAUGACUUGUGGCUGGGGGUGAAAGGCCAAUCAAACCGGGAGAUAGCUGGUUCUCCCCGAAAGCUAUUUAGGUAGCGCCUCGUGAAUUCAUCUCCGGGGGUAGAGCACUGUUUCGGCAAGGGGGUCAUCCCGACUUACCAACCCGAUGCAAACUGCGAAUACCGGAGAAUGUUAUCACGGGAGACACACGGCGGGUGCUAACGUCCGUCGUGAAGAGGGAAACAACCCAGACCGCCAGCUAAGGUCCCAAAGUCAUGGUUAAGUGGGAAACGAUGUGGGAAGGCCCAGACAGCCAGGAUGUUGGCUUAGAAGCAGCCAUCAUUUAAAGAAAGCGUAAUAGCUCACUGGUCGAGUCGGCCUGCGCGGAAGAUGUAACGGGGCUAAACCAUGCACCGAAGCUGCGGCAGCGACGCUGAUGCGUUGUUGGGUAGGGGAGCGUUCUGUAAGCCUGCGAAGGUGUGCUGUGAGGCAUGCUGGAGGUAUCAGAAGUGCGAAUGCUGACAUAAGUAACGAUAAAGCGGGUGAAAAGCCCGCUCGCCGGAAGACCAAGGGUUCCUGUCCAACGUUAAUCGGGGCAGGGUGAGUCGACCCCUAAGGCGAGGCCGAAAGGCGUAGUCGAUGGGAAACAGGUUAAUAUUCCUGUACUUGGUGUUACUGCGAAGGGGGGACGGAGAAGGCUAUGUUGGCCGGGCGACGGUUGUCCCGGUUUAAGCGUGUAGGCUGGUUUUCCAGGCAAAUCCGGAAAAUCAAGGCUGAGGCGUGAUGACGAGGCACUACGGUGCUGAAGCAACAAAUGCCCUGCUUCCAGGAAAAGCCUCUAAGCAUCAGGUAACAUCAAAUCGUACCCCAAACCGACACAGGUGGUCAGGUAGAGAAUACCAAGGCGCUUGAGAGAACUCGGGUGAAGGAACUAGGCAAAAUGGUGCCGUAACUUCGGGAGAAGGCACGCUGAUAUGUAGGUGAAGUCCCUCGCGGAUGGAGCUGAAAUCAGUCGAAGAUACCAGCUGGCUGCAACUGUUUAUUAAAAACACAGCACUGUGCAAACACGAAAGUGGACGUAUACGGUGUGACGCCUGCCCGGUGCCGGAAGGUUAAUUGAUGGGGUUAGCGCAAGCGAAGCUCUUGAUCGAAGCCCCGGUAAACGGCGGCCGUAACUAUAACGGUCCUAAGGUAGCGAAAUUCCUUGUCGGGUAAGUUCCGACCUGCACGAAUGGCGUAAUGAUGGCCAGGCUGUCUCCACCCGAGACUCAGUGAAAUUGAACUCGCUGUGAAGAUGCAGUGUACCCGCGGCAAGACGGAAAGACCCCGUGAACCUUUACUAUAGCUUGACACUGAACAUUGAGCCUUGAUGUGUAGGAUAGGUGGGAGGCUUUGAAGUGUGGACGCCAGUCUGCAUGGAGCCGACCUUGAAAUACCACCCUUUAAUGUUUGAUGUUCUAACGUUGACCCGUGAUCCGGGUUGCGGACAGUGUCUGGUGGGUAGUUUGACUGGGGCGGUCUCCUCCUAAAGAGUAACGGAGGAGCACGAAGGUUGGCUAAUCCUGGUCGGACAUCAGGAGGUUAGUGCAAUGGCAUAAGCCAGCUUGACUGCGAGCGUGACGGCGCGAGCAGGUGCGAAAGCAGGUCAUAGUGAUCCGGUGGUUCUGAAUGGAAGGGCCAUCGCUCAACGGAUAAAAGGUACUCCGGGGAUAACAGGCUGAUACCGCCCAAGAGUUCAUAUCGACGGCGGUGUUUGGCACCUCGAUGUCGGCUCAUCACAUCCUGGGGCUGAAGUAGGUCCCAAGGGUAUGGCUGUUCGCCAUUUAAAGUGGUACGCGAGCUGGGUUUAGAACGUCGUGAGACAGUUCGGUCCCUAUCUGCCGUGGGCGCUGGAGAACUGAGGGGGGCUGCUCCUAGUACGAGAGGACCGGAGUGGACGCAUCACUGGUGUUCGGGUUGUCAUGCCAAUGGCACUGCCCGGUAGCUAAAUGCGGAAGAGAUAAGUGCUGAAAGCAUCUAAGCACGAAACUUGCCCCGAGAUGAGUUCUCCCUGACUCCUUGAGAGUCCUGAAGGAACGUUGAAGACGACGACGUUGAUAGGCCGGGUGUGUAAGCGCAGCGAUGCGUUGAGCUAACCGGUACUAAUGAACCGUGAGGCUUAACC
RNAcentral lists this ribosomal RNA (2889 nucleotides) under human gut metagenome. RNAcentral describes it as "bacterial LSU rRNA". It matches the Rfam family "Bacterial large subunit ribosomal RNA". The record is from RNAcentral.